GACGAACGCUGGCGGCGUGCUUAACACAUGCAAGUCGAACGGAAAGGCCCUGCUUUUGUGGGGUGCUCGAGUGGCGAACGGGUGAGUAACACGUGAGUAACCUGCCCUUGACUUUGGGAUAACUUCAGGAAACUGGGGCUAAUACCGGAUAGGAGCUCCUGCUGCAUGGUGUGGGUUGGAAAGUUUCGGCGUUUGGGGAUGGACUCGCGGCUUAUCAGCUUGUUUGUGGGGUAGUGGCUUGCCAAGGCUUUGACGGGUAGCCGGCCUGAGAGGGUGACAGGCCACAAUGGCACUGAGAUACGGCCGAGACUGCUACGGGACGCAGCAGGGGGGAAUAUUGAAGGAGGGGCGGAAGCUUGAUGAAGAAACGCCGCGUGCGGGAUGACGGCGUUCGGGUUGUAAACCGCUUUCGCUCAUGACGAAGCUUUGUGUGACGGUAGUGGGUAAAGAAGCACCGGCUAACUACGUG
RNAcentral lists this ribosomal RNA (469 nucleotides) under uncultured bacterium. RNAcentral describes it as "partial 16S ribosomal RNA". It matches the Rfam family "Bacterial small subunit ribosomal RNA", at positions 28 to 507 of the family's 1533-position model. The record is from RNAcentral.